RNAcentral lists this unclassified non-coding RNA (357 nucleotides) under soil metagenome. RNAcentral's name for it is "partial contains 5.8S ribosomal RNA, internal transcribed spacer 2, and large subunit ribosomal RNA". The stretch from base 1 to 120 matches the Rfam family "5.8S ribosomal RNA", at positions 35 to 154 of the family's 154-position model. The record is from RNAcentral.
GAUGAAGAACGCAGCGAAAUGCGAUAAGUAAUGUGAAUUGCAGAAUUCAGUGAAUCAUCGAAUCUUUGAACGCACAUUGCGCCCGCCAGUAUUCUGGCGGGCAUGCCUGUCCGAGCGUCAUUUCAACCCUCGAACCCCUCCGGGGGGUCGGCGUUGGGGACCUCGGGAGCCCCUAAGACGGGAUCCCGGCCCCGAAAUACAGUGGCGGUCUCGCCGCAGCCUCUCCUGCGCAGUAGUUUGCACAACUCGCACCGGGAGCGCGGCGCGUCCACGUCCGUAAAACACCCAACUUCUGAAAUGUUGACCUCGGAUCAGGUAGGAAUACCCGCUGAACUUAAGCAUAUCAAUAAGCGGAGA